AUUAAACAAUCCGACACCACACACCGUAGGAAGCUUAACACACUGCGGUUACAGCAGUUCGGUGCAUAUACAUCCGCAACCUCAGUAACCACGGAAUACAAAUGGAUCUGAAGCUAAGGAAAAAACGAGAAUGUCCAAAGUGUCUAAAAACGUUUAAAACGAAUCACACAUUGACUAGACACAUCAUCACGCACGAUCCAGAUGCCAAGGUCAAGUGUGAGGUUUGUGGCGAAAUUUCAAAAAACAAACGCACCUUAUCUUACCACAUGUCAAGUUUUCACACCAACCAAAAGCGACCCAGUUGUGACACUUGUCACCGGGAGUUUUCCAGUUCGUCUUACUUACGGCGACAUAUUGACGCCCUUCACAGCACGAUGGAUCGACCUCGCUUCCCAUGUACGUUUCCCGGAUGUGAGAAAAUCUACUUAAAUAAGAGAGAUCUUUCGCAACACGUGAAAUAAGAACACGCCGAGAAUCCGGUCCGAUACCCGUGCACACUUUGCGGAAAGGAAUUUAAAACGAGGGCUGACCUUGAGAAACAUAUUCCCACCCACACGACGGAGAAGCCGUACAAUUGUCCCACUUGUGGGAGGAGUUUCGCCCAUAUGAGAAGUAUGAAGGUUCAUGAGAUGACGCAUUUGAAAAAAUCUACACGAGACGUGGUCCACUGUGCCGUCUGUCCUCAGAUCUUUGUGAGUAGGGCUGGUCUACAUAGCCACAUCCGAGUGGUGCAUGAAAAUCAGAGGAAUUAUCCGUGCGCAUUUUGUGACAAAAGAUUCUCCAUCUCAUCAAAUUUAAAAGCUCACGUGGAGGCGAUACACCCCACGAAUAAAGAACUGGUCCAUUCCUGCGACAAAUGCGCGUACAAGAGCCACUCCAAACGCUAUUUGGCCAACCACGGAAUACGUCACAUUGCAGCGAAGCAUGGAUGUUAUUUUUGUGUGAAGAGAUUCCACACUUUUAACGAAUUGGUAAGACAUUGUGGUCGAGUUCAUACUCUAGAAAAAUUAAAAUUCUUUCGUUUGUAAUGAGCAUGCCAAUAUUUCAAGUAUUGUGACUAUCUGUAGAGUUGCGACGUGUUUGUAGUAAAACUUUGUGGGAGAAUGAAAUGGGAUUUCGUUAACUAGUUAUGUAGUAUGUAUGUACAUACCUAUUAACUGGACAUGUUAUUUUAUACAUUAGGGAAAUACAAGUGAAAAGUCCUGUUGGGACAAAUAAAGG
This is a long non-coding RNA of Folsomia candida, 1221 nucleotides long. RefSeq lists it as uncharacterized. Lineage: Eukaryota; Metazoa; Arthropoda; Collembola; Entomobryomorpha; Isotomidae. The record is from RefSeq and is a predicted model, not a curated record. The transcript is spliced from 4 exons.